GAAGAAGAAGAAGAAAAAGAAGAAACAAUAUUUUUGGGACAAGUGUAUGCAUUGACAAAUGAAAUAUCCCGACAAACAAUACAAGCUAUUGAACAUUCAUUACAUAUAUCAACUAAAAGCUACAUGCAAUUACUUCUUUUGUCAAUAACUUGCAACACAACCAUCUAUUGCAACCACCAACUUGUAACAUAUGCUUCUAAGUUCAAUAUCAGCAAAUUCUGAGGCACAAUAUCUGCAGUAUCAGCCUAAAUGUCACAUUUUUAUAUAUCUGAUGCAUCUGGAUAAGCCCAUGUCUGCAAUCAUGAUUUCCCAAAACCAACAGCAACGUUCUUUCUUUUGCGCGUUUCAAUUCUUUCAGGACUCGGGAGUCCAGUCUUAUCCUCAUAUUUAUUUUCUAAGGCCUGUAAAAAUUAUCAGCACCAAACAAUAUGAUAUUCCAAUCCACAAAAGAGCCUGAUAAUAAUCCAGGAUAUACAUAUGGAAUUUCUUUGCCAUAACAAUAUUAACAAACCAAAUUAUACAAAAACAAAAUAACACAAUUAGAUUUUGUAUAAUGUCUUACUAGAAACAAAGCCGAUUGAAUUUGCAUUUGGCUAGUAAAAUGCUGUAUAUUGCUGCAGCAGCAACAAAUAUAGUUAUCCAGGCAUAAACAAUGUAUUGUCAUUUGUAUUCAUCUCUCUCUUACAAGUGCAAUGGGUGUGAGAUAGUCUACCUUAGAUCUAAAUAGUGCUGUGAUUUGCAGUGCGUCACUCAAAUUAAAGGCACUAUGCAUAAGCAUGCUUGCCCAUGCAUUGACUAGAAACCACCUUAAUUGAAAUCAAUUAAGGUGUAACUAUAAUAAGAUUAUUUUAUGGCAAUUAAAUGAUCAUGAUUGCAGCGCAGGAUUUUUGACCCAUUCUUUUAUGUUGGAUUCGAAAGAUCAAUAGAACCUUUUAUAAUUCACAAAUAUCUGAGAUUCCUCUUAAGUAAAUGAAGAAAGAAAAUGUCCAUGUUCUGGCAACAUGCUACAAAAAGGUCAGUACCUGGAUUGCAAAAUAGUAGUUCAUUAAGUUGCUAAUUGCUAGUUUCUAUCAUGCAAUGGCUAAAGUUUUGUACAGAAACAACUGGGAAGCAUGUCUAGCUCUAUAUAUAAAAAAUAUUUUCUAGCAUAGAAGUAAACCCAAUUUUUCUCGUGGCAUUAGCCGUUAUGACCACUGGCGCACUUCCACUCACCUGUAGAUCUCCACGAAUACUGUCAAGAACUUCUUCAGUCAUUCUAUCAAAGAACAGAAUCCCCUGCAAGAUCAUGAGCUAUCUUAGCAAAAGACUAACACUUUGACAGCAGAGAAAACAACAUAGAUCUGUUAGAAGCUUGGUUUUAUUUUAUACAACACACACACAUAUAGAGGAAUUAAGAGGGGGCGAAAACUUGAGGAAGCACACAGUUAGGUCUGGAGCUUCAUAAUUGUGUCCCUUUGCUAGACAUGAACUUCAAUAUACAAAAUCUUUAAGAGACUUGUAGUAAACUCUAGCCAACAAAUUGAUACUUCUUUUGGAGGAUCCAAAUAAAGUUGCGGGAAAAAGGCAGUAAGAUUACAAUAUCAAGAGAACACUAUACACUUGAAAAUUUUAUUUUUGGAAGUAUAACUAGAAAAUUAGUGCUGCAAGAAACAUUCUCUAUUAAACAAAAUGAAAAUUGAUCUUGCAGUUGCACUUAAUCUAAAAAAAAUUCUAACCUCUAAUAUAGCAAUCUGUCUGUUUUUAUGUAUAUAGAAGCUGUAAUACAUGUACAGUAGUGUAGCCACAUCCACUCAGAAUUCCUCAAUGAGAGGCAUUCAACUAAAUGUAAAUACAACUGUAGCUUGCAAAACUUACAAGGUAACAAACUGUUAUAUCUAAUCUUUUGUUAUGAAUAAGGUUUAAAGUGAAGAAAAGACCUGCAAAUGGUCAAAUUCAUGCUGGAAAACCCUUGCAGGAAGACCUGACAAGUUGACAGUAAACCUAGCACCAUUAAUGUCCCUUGCAUCAAUCUUUACGGAUUCUGGUCUCUCAACAUCAGCAUGGAUCCUAGGAAAGGAUAGGCAGCCUUCAUUAAAAAGCACCAUUUUCUUUGAAUAUUUGUUAACUCUUGGAUUGACAAGAACGAUUUCCUCUCCCUCACCGGGCUCUCCAACUGGAUUAAACACCAUAAGUUGAACAUUAAUUCCUACUUGGGGUGCUGAGAGCCCAAUACCAUCAGUU
Molecule: unclassified non-coding RNA, 2220 nt
Filed under: Hevea brasiliensis (rubber tree)
Lineage: Eukaryota; Viridiplantae; Streptophyta; Magnoliopsida; Malpighiales; Euphorbiaceae
Source: RNAcentral